This 1733-nucleotide long non-coding RNA is filed under the name Panax ginseng (ginseng). Its description in RNAcentral is "long non-coding RNA (PGIN_LNC016208)". The record is from RNAcentral. Lineage: Eukaryota; Viridiplantae; Streptophyta; Magnoliopsida; Apiales; Araliaceae.
CCAGCUUUUUCUUCAACUAAUUUCAACCGGUGGAUGAGGAUUGAGGAUGGAUAAGGAUUACCAUUAUCCUCCAUUACUAUUACUACAAAAUUCUAUCAGCAACUCCUCCUUUUGUAUUUAUUAAAAAUAAACUAAUAUUCGACCUUAUAAAUAUUCAGAAUAAAAUAUUACUAUAAUACUUGCAACAAGAUAAACAAAGAUGUCUCCCCUGUAUGCUCUGUGCUUCAGACUUCAGAGAUCCCAUUUUCAAUUUCAACUAAAAAAUUGCUCCAUUUUCAUGUGAUUCAUAUGAUCCUCAUCAUCAUCAUGAGCCUUUCUGUUGGAAAAAAUCAAAAAAAUCCCGUAUUCAUAGUGUGUAGUGUGGUUAUUUGUGUGCAGAUUUGAAAUUAGGCGGUUGAUUUUGUGAUAAAAUGUCGAUUAUUGAGAUGAAUAAUGGUGAUGGGGUUGAAAAUUGUUCUGGGUAUUCGUGUUUGUCAAUGGCGGUUGAACAGGAAAAGCAAUUUCGUGGCAGAGUUCGGAGGAUUGGGAAGGGUGGAGGAGAGAAGGGGAUGAAAGAGGAGAGAGAGAAGAUUAUGGGUUUUUUUUAGGUUCUUCUAGUUGUUCUUCAAUUGGGAAGAACAGUGAUGAUGAAGAUGGUGAUAAUGAGGAGGAAGAGGUUCACAGUUCAUACAAAUGUAAAAAUGGGUCAUUUGAUUCCAUACAAGCUCUGGAGGAGGCUCUUCCAAUGAGGUAUUUUUUAUUGGUCAACAAUAGGGGUUAAACGAUCACUUUUGUUUAUAACUGUACGAUCACAUUCUCUUUUCUGAGCCCCCUUCAGCUUUGGGCCAGGACUACAGCCCUGGACCAUGGCCGAUUCUCAUAAGAUAUACUUUUUCCGUUUUUAAAAAAUUGUCAUUUUAAAAGGUAAAAUUUAUUUUAAAAAAUUUGUCAUUUACAACUUUCGAGGAGAAUAAAUUAUUUAUUUUCCUAUAUUACCCAUACCUUCUUUCAUUGUCCCAAGAAAUUCUCUCCUUUGUAUUAAUAGUUUUCAACUUCCCAAAAAGGGGUAAUGAUGAAAUUUUAAACAAAUUUUACUUGAUAAAUGGUACUUUCUUAAUUCAUGUGCAAAAAUCUUAAAUGACAAUAUUUUAAGAACAGAGAUAGUAUCUUUUAUCCUUUCUCAAUUAAUAAUAUUGCAUAUAAUGAUACCUGGGAUUGUAAAAAAUUAUAAAUUCGAUUUAUGUCAUGUUUAUGCUUAAUUACAAUAUGACUGUAUGUAUGUACUCGUUUCUACAAACUUACAUUCCAAUAUCUCUACUCAAAAUGCUACUCAUGUUUCUAAUUUCUAAUAGGUUUUAUUACAUUUAAAAAUACAAAUAUACUUCUGUGUACAUGCACUGAAAAAAAAGAAGCAAAGGUUACUUGCAUGAUUAUGAGGAACAACAUGUCCAGCUCUACGCAUCAGCUCCAUAAAAAUGAAUUAACUUUAAUAGUGACACCUCCUGAAAUCAAAGAAAUUACAAUGGGCUUCAGCUAAAAACAACAAUUUGAAAAUAUCUUGAUUUUGAUUCAAAAACACCUAAGCAGAAAUAUGUAGCUGAGCAUUAAUAUCAAUUAUGGGUACUUUUUGUAACUACAAUAAAUCAUUUUGAGGGACCUCUCGGAACCUGAAUUGUUUCUUCAGAUUGGGAUGGGAAAUUAAAGCCGGUCGAGCAAUUCUGCAACUCUUCAGGGCUUUUCAUCCAUGCUCUACG